RNAcentral lists this ribosomal RNA (387 nucleotides) under Triticum aestivum (bread wheat). RNAcentral's name for it is "partial small subunit ribosomal RNA". The record is from RNAcentral. Lineage: Eukaryota; Viridiplantae; Streptophyta; Magnoliopsida; Poales; Poaceae.
AUGUUGACCGGAAACAACGAUAUGAAGCCGCCGAUUCCUAAACGACCCCGGCGGAUGGCUAUGUCGCCGGAAUCAGCACCUUUAGCCUCCGGCAGUAGCAGCUUCAUCCCAGAUGAUAUAAUCUUCUUUCAGAUACUCGUACUUCUUCCUGUGAAGUCCCUUGUGCGCUUCCAAACCGUCUGCAAGUCAUGGCGCACCACAUUAACCAGCAUCAGUUUCGUGCGCUGGCACCUGGAGCUUUCCAAGCGAACAAGGUCGACCAUGGUCCUCGUGCCACGCAAGUAUCAGGAGGACCGACGGAAGGCGUGUUCUAGAUUACUCAGUAUCUUCAGCUUCCAGCCAGGGGAAAGCAAGUGUGCGGAGCUUAUCUUNNNNNNNNNNGUGUAA